AUGUUGUAUGUCGUCUUCGGUGUGACCACUAAGGCUUGUGGUUGUGGCAACAGGGAAUCCGGCGUGGAUCCGGAACUGUCGCGCAGCGGUGUGGGGGAACGAAGGCCGCCAGGUGGUUGGUCACCAGGCACUGCCUGCCAGAACCAUGGGCGGGUGGGAAGCCGCGGCCGUAGGUGUUCGCAGUAACGCGCCCCCAAGUCCGAAUACCUGCCGAGGAGGGCCCGUCAUC
RNAcentral lists this non-coding RNA (229 nucleotides) under Thioalkalivibrio nitratireducens. The record is from RNAcentral. Lineage: Bacteria; Pseudomonadati; Pseudomonadota; Gammaproteobacteria; Chromatiales; Ectothiorhodospiraceae.